This 1395-nucleotide ribosomal RNA is filed under the name uncultured bacterium. RNAcentral describes it as "16S ribosomal RNA". It matches the Rfam family "Bacterial small subunit ribosomal RNA". The record is from RNAcentral.
AGAGUUUGAUCCUGGCUCAGGAUGAACGCUAGCUACAGGCUUAACACAUGCAAGUCGAGGGGCAGCAUGGUCUUAGCUUGCUAAGGCCGAUGGCGACCGGCGCACGGGUGAGUAACACGUAUCCAACCUGCCGUCUACUCUUGGACAGCCUUCUGAAAGGAAGAUUAAUACAAGAUGGCAUCAUGAGUCCGCAUGUUCACAUGAUUAAAGGUAUUCCGGUAGACGAUGGGGAUGCGUUCCAUUAGAUAGUAGGCGGGGUAACGGCCCACCUAGUCUUCGAUGGAUAGGGGUUCUGAGAGGAAGGUCCCCCACAUUGGAACUGAGACACGGUCCAAACUCCUACGGGAGGCAGCAGUGAGGAAUAUUGGUCAAUGGGCGAGAGCCUGAACCAGCCAAGUAGCGUGAAGGAUGACUGCCCUAUGGGUUGUAAACUUCUUUUAUAAAGGAAUAAAGUCGGGUAUGCAUACCCGUUUGCAUGUACUUUAUGAAUAAGGAUCGGCUAACUCCGUGCCAGCAGCCGCGGUAAUACGGAGGAUCCGAGCGUUAUCCGGAUUUAUUGGGUUUAAAGGGAGCGUAGAUGGAUGUUUAAGUCAGUUGUGAAAGUUUGCGGCUCAACCGUAAAAUUGCAGUUGAUACUGGAUAUCUUGAGUGCAGUUGAGGCAGGCGGAAUUCGUGGUGUAGCGGUGAAAUGCUUAGAUAUCACGAAGAACUCCGAUUGCGAAGGCAGCCUGCUAAGCUGCAACUGACAUUGAGGCUCGAAAGUGUGGGUAUCAAACAGGAUUAGAUACCCUGGUAGUCCACACGGUAAACGAUGAAUACUCGCUGUUUGCGAUAUACGGCAAGCGGCCAAGCGAAAGCGUUAAGUAUUCCACCUGGGGAGUACGCCGGCAACGGUGAAACUCAAAGGAAUUGACGGGGCCCGCACAAGCGGAGGAACAUGUGGUUUAAUUCGAUGAUACGCGAGGAACCUUACCCGGGCUUAAAUUGCAGAUGAAUUACGGUGAAAGCCGUAAGCCGCAAGGCAUCUGUGAAGGUGCUGCAUGGUUGUCGUCAGCUCGUGCCGUGAGGUGUCGGCUUAAGUGCCAUAACGAGCGCAACCCUUGUUGUCAGUUACUAACAGGUUCUGCUGAGGACUCUGACAAGACUGCCAUCGUAAGAUGUGAGGAAGGUGGGGAUGACGUCAAAUCAGCACGGCCCUUACGUCCGGGGCUACACACGUGUUACAAUGGGGGGUACAGAGGGCCGCUACCACGCGAGUGGAUGCCAAUCCCCAAAACCUCUCUCAGUUCGGACUGGAGUCUGCAACCCGACUCCACGAAGCUGGAUUCGCUAGUAAUCGCGCAUCAGCCACGGCGCGGUGAAUACGAACCCGGGCCUUGCACACACCGCCCGUCA